This 465-nucleotide ribosomal RNA is filed under the name Vreelandella stevensii. Its description in RNAcentral is "partial 16S ribosomal RNA". It matches the Rfam family "Bacterial small subunit ribosomal RNA", at positions 338 to 795 of the family's 1533-position model. The record is from RNAcentral. Lineage: Bacteria; Pseudomonadati; Pseudomonadota; Gammaproteobacteria; Oceanospirillales; Halomonadaceae.
CCUACGGGUGGCAGCAGUGGGGAAUAUUGGACAAUGGGCGAAAGCCUGAUCCAGCCAUGCCGCGUGUGUGAAGAAGGCCUUCAGGUUGUAAAGCACUUUCAGUGGGGAAGAAAGCCUUGGGGCUAAUACCCUCGAGGAAGGACAUCACCCACAGAAGAAGCACCGGCUAACUCCGUGCCAGCAGCCGCGGUAAUACGGAGGGUGCGAGCGUUAAUCGGAAUUACUGGGCGUAAAGCGCGCGUAGGCGGUCUGAUAAGCCGGUUGUGAAAGCCCCGGGCUCAACCUGGGAACGGCAUCCGGAACUGUCAGGCUAGAGUGCAGGAGAGGAAGGUAGAAUUCCCGGUGUAGCGGUGAAAUGCGUAGAGAUCGGGAGGAAUACCAGUGGCGAAGGCGGCCUUCUGGACUGACACUGACGCUGAGGUGCGAAAGCGUGGGUAGCAAACAGGAUUAGAUACCCCAGUAGUC